RNAcentral lists this ribosomal RNA (497 nucleotides) under uncultured bacterium. Its description in RNAcentral is "partial 16S ribosomal RNA". It matches the Rfam family "Bacterial small subunit ribosomal RNA", at positions 28 to 507 of the family's 1533-position model. The record is from RNAcentral.
GAUGAACGCUGGCGGCGUGCCUAAUACAUGCAAGUCGAGCGAACGGACGAGAAGCUUGCUUUUCUGAUGUUAGCGGCGGACGGGUGAGUAGCACGUGGAUAACCUACCUAUAAGACUGGGAUAACUUCGGGAAACCGGAGCUAAUACCGGAUAAUAUUUUGAACCGCAUGGUUCAAAAGUGAAAGACGGUCUUGCUGUCACUUAUAGAUGGAUCCGCGCUGCAUUAGCUAGUUGGUAAGGUAACGGCUUACCAAGGCAACGAUGCAUAGCCGACCUGAGAGGGUGAUCGGCCACACUGGAGCUGAGACACGGUCCAGACUCCUACGGGAGGCAGCAGUAGGGAAUCUUCCGCAAUGGGCGAAAGCCUGACGGAGCAACGCCGCGUGAGUGAUGAAGGUCUUCGGAUCGUAAAACUCUGUUAUUAGGGAAGAACAUAUGUGUAAGUAACUGUGCACAUCUUGACGGUACCUAAUCAGAAAGCCACGGCUAACUACGUG